This 399-nucleotide ribosomal RNA is filed under the name uncultured bacterium. RNAcentral's name for it is "partial 16S ribosomal RNA". It matches the Rfam family "Bacterial small subunit ribosomal RNA", at positions 360 to 774 of the family's 1533-position model. The record is from RNAcentral.
AAUAUUGCACAAUGGAGGGAACUCUGAUGCAGCAACGCCGCGUGAGUGAAGAAGGUUUUCGGAUCGUAAAACACUGUCAUCGGGGAAGAAGAAAUGUCGGCACCUAAUGAGGACGCCCCGGCUAACUACGUGCAAGCACACGCGGUAAUACGUAGGGGGCGACCGUUGUCAGGAAUUACUGGGCGUAAAGGGUACGUAGGCGGCUAUAUAAGUCAGGUGUGAAAUACCAGUGCUUAACACUGGAAUUGCAUUUGAAACUGUGUAGCUUGAGUGCAGGAGAGGAAAGUGGAAUUCCUAGUGGAGCGGUGAAAUGCGUAGAGAUUAGGAGGAACACCAGUGGCGAAGGCGACUUUCUGGACUGUAACUGACGCUGAGGUACGAAAGCGUGGGUAGCGAACA